AUUGCACUGCAAAUUACCAUAAUCAGAAUUCAUCAGGUCAUGUACGUACUACAUAACAUUUACUUAGGAUAUGAAAUGGUGAGAUCGAUAAAUUCGAAAUCAUCAUUAUAUUGUUGUUCUUAUUACAUUAAUAUAGAUAUAUGUAGCCACUAUAUAUACCUAUUAGAGUGAAUACGAUACCAAUGCCCCACAAUUUGUUGUCCUGACACAAUCGACCGGAUUCGCUGCGUUGUAGUCAAAACAGAUGACGACUUCCUGCAGAUACGCGAUCCCCCCGUCCUUCUUGCACAUAAGAAGAGGUGUUUUCCCUCCUAUAGUCCGUCGAAUGGCCGAUUCAAGGUCGAUGUAAUGAUAUUGAUAUCCUGGUACAAUCCCAGUUGUUUGAGAAAAUAGAUGUUGUGCAUUGUAGGUCAACCAUAAUCUAUGAGCUUCGUGGAAGUAUUGUGUCUGGGAAAAUUUAUUGUCCGAGCACCUGCCGUGCUUGUUGUACUCAUGCGCCCAGAAAUCCAUAUUUGUCCGUCUAUUGUUGAAGCUGGGCCAGGAAUUGGACAAAAGUAAUUGCAGAUUAUGAUCAGCAAUCAUCUGAAGCACAAAGACGAGAAGUUACAAGCAUUUCAGAGAGCUGCAGGAGAAAAAAACAAACUGAAAUGAGUAUAUAUAUUCAAUGUGUACCUGAUUUCUGUUGAAUAGGGUGCCAGCGCAGAGUAUAGGUGCAGAUGGAUCGGUAAAGUUGCUCGGCCAGAGGCCGUGUGUCGUAAAGGUAUGCCGUAGAACUUGUUGGUUUCCACAAAUUCCAUUCCCAAGGCAGAAGACGUAUUGGAAGAUAUCAUAUGGUGUGGCAGCAUUGCUCUUUCCGACAUAAGUGACGAAGCAAAGAGCGAUGACAACGAGAACAUGUUGUGCGGAAGCGUCAAAUGUGAAACCAAUAAACUACAACGGCAAAAUAUGAUAAACUACAAUGGCAAAAUAUGAUAAGACAAAUAAUCUAAAUAACACAAGGAUUUAUACUGGUUCGGCGUAAGCCUACGUCCAGUUCCGAGACGGCGAGGAAAUUCCACUAAUAUCAAAAGGAGAUUACAAAUAGAGUUCAACACUCAAACCCAAAUCCCACAUACACCCAAUAGCUUUCACUCAUAUAAAGAACAAAUAGAGAAGAAGAAACACAUACCAAAUCCUUCUCUCCCAAAAGCCACAAAAUGUAGCAAUAUAUCUUUGAAUGAAUGAUUGCACAAAUGGAGAACAGUAAAACAGCAGCACUCAAUUUUCUUCUCUAUCGGCUGCUCUCUGUUUUCUGCUAUAUGCUGCCGCUGAGUUUCUGCUCUCUUUUUUCUGCUAUCUGCUGCCGCUGAGUUUCUGCUCUCUUUACUGACCAAAAGGCAUGAAUUGCCUUAUAUAAGGCUGGUGCCUUUUAAUUAAACCCUAGCUGCCAUGUGGCUUUCAAAUGGGUAACAAAAGGCCAAACCUAUUUGGGUUUGAGACAAAAAACUAAAGGCCCAAGAAGUAUUGAGCCACAAAAUCCAACAGAACAAUCUUGAAGAAGUGCAUGGUUGUCAAGCAAUUAUCAAAAGAACAAAGGGAGGGAGGGAGGAUGGGAUGAGAAAUAACAAGGAAAGCUAAAGAGUGAAUGAAGUGUGAAUUUUCAAAGAAAUGAAGAGGUGUUUAAAUAGUUAGAGUUGAGGUUAAGGGUAGGGUUUGGAGAAAUUAAUUAAGGUGAAGCUAACUAGCAAAGAUGAUAAUAAUUAAGGUCAAGUAAGUGUGAACAGAUCCUGAACUAGGGAAUGCCUCUUUCUUGUUAUGCAAGGCUUUGCAUUCUCAUAUGCAUGCUAUAAAGGGUGGUAACCGUGUAGUGGUUGAUUCAUCAACAACCCAAUCAACCCAAUUAUAGCGGUUCCUCAUAUAUCAGAUUCAGACCCCAAGCAAGCUAAUAGUCUCAAUUUUUAGAUUAUAAUUCUAUUUGAGAAAGCCAUUCAGGACCACGCUAGCUAAAUAUGGUUCCAAUCGAAUAUAAACAGAAACGAUUUGGACAUUGUUUAUGUAUCUUAUCUUGUAAAUUGAAGUUUCAACCACUACCUUCUAGCAGUGGUAAUUCUUAUCUUUGAAAUUUUGGAGCUCUCCUCUCCUCUUCAUGGUUUCUAUUCAACUUACUUAUCCCGGUUGCAGAUAAUUAAUUAACUUGUGGAUUAAGUAAAUAGCUAUUUCAAUUUGCUGCUACUCACCCUGGAGCUAGCCUUCGGACCGGGGAAAUCAUAUUGUCCUAUAGACACCCGCUUCGUCGCUGCAAGGCGACACCGCAGGGUGGAUAUCUGCGGGUACUCAUCAUUUCAUUUCAUGGUUGUAUUGCUUCACAUUUGCAGAUUGUUAACACAACAUGCCUUCUGUUUAGUUAAUUCAUUAAUCAAACAUGAUCAAAUAUACAACAUACAAAUUGUUAGAAUUGAGGUCAAGUGUAGAGUGUAGAGAAAGAUUAAGUUGAAGCUAGCUAGCAAAGGUGAUAAUAAUUAAGGUCAAGUGAGUGUGAACACAUUCGGAAUUAGGGAAUGCAUCUUUCUUGUUGCCCACGGCAAUGCGUUCUCAUGCUAUAAAGGGUAGUAACUGUGUAGUGGACGAUUCAUCAUCAACCCAAUUAUAUAAAGUGGUUCAUCAUAUAUCAGAUUCAAACCCUAAGCUAGCUAGUAGUCCAAAUUUUAGAUUAUAAUUCUGUUUCAAAAAUCCAUUCAGGACAACGCUAGCUAAACAUGGUUCCGAACGAAAAAAUACAGAAACGAUUUAGGCAUUGCUUGCGUAUCUCAUCUUGUAAAAACGUACAACUUACAAUACACUUAAUUUCGAACAUUGUUUGAGUAUCUCAUCUUCUUCGUUGAAAGGCAACACCGCAGGGUGGAUAUCUGCGGGUAGCCAUCAUUUCGUUUCUUGGUUGUAUUGCUUCAUAUACUCGUAAAUUUUUAUCGACUCCAAGUUUCUUAAAGACAUCCAUAAUUUGAACAACAAAAGGAUUUCAUUACUUUCGAUAUCUACGUACACAUGUACUUGUUGUUGCCUUCCGUGACCGAAACCAUACUCUUCACAUAUACAACGGGCGAAUGAUUUGCUUUGCACAGUGGCAAAUAAUACGGUUGCGGAGGAAAAAUGGGAUUGAUCCUUACAGCACUUUGAAUGGGAAGAUUUUUAAGCUUCUUAGUACGGAAGUUAUAGCAGACUAUGCCUCCAUUUUCCUCUACUGUAAGAACCUCUUCGCUUUUCCACAUUGGCAAGCCUCCAUUUCCCUCUACUGUAAGAACCUCGUCGCUUUUCCACAUUGCCAAUGUGGAGUACAGGGGCAAGAGGGACCUUGAGAAUGAUGGGAUCUUGGCAGCAAAGUGUUUUGUCCAAACACCACCCGCAUUUUUCGGACCACCACCAGAAUCAUCAUCCAUUAGCCACAUUUCAAAGGGUGGUGUAUCACCAUCUUCAAAGGUAUUACAAUUCAAGCGAAAGAGAGCGAUGGAUUCAUUCCACACCUUAAGACGCAUUUCAAUACCAAAUCCUUCGAAAUUGUUGAACUCUACCAUCUCAUGUGGUAACAGUAUGUCAUGAAACACCUCACGACUCAUGUCAAACCAAACGAUCACUCGCCUAAUUUUUUUCUUGCUCGGGAUAGGUGACAUCAUAGCUAUCGGCAAAUUCCUUUUGUUGCUCACUUCCUAUCCAAUAACACAUCCCCUUGAAGUACACCUGAAAAGUUUCAGGCCAAAGGAAAGUAGUUUCCGUUUCUAAAGAAUAAGGCUCGAUCUCCCUCCAAGAAUUAGUUCCUAGGGUAUACACUACUACCUUGGGAGGAUGAAUAAUCAAAUGUUCUGUGCCGCCAUGCAAUUCUGAACCAGAAAAUCCAAUUUUGACAACUUUGUAAUCUUUAGAUUUAGGAUCAUAGCCUAAUCCCAAAACAUCGUUGAACCGAUUUGUUAGUGGCAUGUAAGGCAUAUCCAACCACCAAGGAUGAGGAUCCCUAAAGGAUGCUUCGUCGAACCAAUCUGGACUGUAUGUCUCCGAGGGAAGGACCCUGAAUUCCUGAAUUGCCGGAUUCCACAAAAGCACCUUAGUAGAAUUAGGACGAGCUAGACAAAUGAUCCCAUCACAAUGACCUAUAACAUGAAAUGAUUGAUCAUCUCCAAUCUCCAGACUCAUAGAAAGAGGAAUAUUGACGUCCUCGAUCCCAGAAAGAGUGCUACACUUGUGCACACCACCAUCGUCAUCAUCAACAAUGACAUUGUCAAAAGUAAGUACUGAGAAUACGGAUUGAAAUUUGUCCCCAUUUGGGUCCUCCGUAGAAGGGACUAACAUUCGCUUCAGAAGGACACGAGUGGACUGAUCGUCCAGCAAGGAAUGGGAGAGGUGCUUGUCGACGAACCUGGGGUCGUUGAUGAGAGCAUGCCACCAUUUAGCGACGCACUUGAAUCGCAUCAGAGAUUUCGGAGGCAGAGUUGACAGAAUAUUCACCAACAAAUCUUGUCCGAUUUUGGAUGUUUUGUUCGUCAUUUGUGCAAUGUCAAUUAUGGACCUCACCCUUGUUCUACGAUACACACAAAGACCAACACAACAAGAUCAGAAGAUUCCACAAUUACACAUUCUCUCUAAUUAAGCAUAUUCUCAAAAGCUCAUCAUCAUCUGGCAUUGCUAUUUCUUGUUAAAAAUAAAAAAAAAACUCAUUGAUACAUUCAAAAAUUUAGCCCUACUGAAAAUGCCAAUUGAAAUUCAAAAGCGAAAUAAGAAUCGAAGCAAAAAAAGUAUCCUUCUUUCAUUUAAAAAAAAAUAUAAAAACUGAAAUUGAAUAAUAAAAAGUUAGAAAUGAGGUUACCUUGUUGUAGACUAGGCAGUAGGAAGAGGAAGAGACCGAAGCAGAAGCAGCGCUGUGAGUGAGAGGGAAAGGGGCAGACUCGGCGCAGAAAAUGUAUUUUCUGCGUUUUGUUCGUGCAGCUGCGUGCGGUAAUGCGAUGGCAGAGAGGGGUUUUUAUUUUGAUUCUUGUGCGACCGUUUUUCAACACCCUCCCAAUUUUACGAACUUACCCUCCCAAAUUCGGCUGCAGUUUGCUGUUCUCUUAACUUUUUAACAGAUGUCUAUAAACUUAACUUUUAAUUUAACGGUGCUAUCUUUUCAAAAGACUAAUAUAACAAAUAAAAAGAAAUAAAAGAAAAACAAAAGGUGCCUAACUCUCCACCUACCCAAUUACGCUAUUUAAUUGGUGUUAUCACUGUUUAAUUUAACGAUGUUAUCUUUUAAGGGGAUGCUGUUGUUUUUUUUUAAUUUUUAAUUUUUUUUAAAUGUUAACACUGUUGAAUUGGUAUUAAGUUGAAGCAUGUGUCACUAAGUUAGAAAGAAGACAUGACGAAGACACUAGUUUAUGGACAUCAGACUCCUGGGCCUCAAUUUGUAAAUCAGAUUAAUAGUCUCCGUGGUGAUAGAGUAUUCGGAGGAAAGUCUAUGUAGUAAAAAGAUUGCCGAGCUCUUCCAGUGGCUCUACUCUAAGCCCAGCCGUGAUGCCUGCUCCCUCGUUUGCAAGCGCUAGCUCGCCUUCGAGUGCCUCAGCAGCACCGCCCUUUGCAUUGGCGCCACGGGUAGCCCGGACCUUGUCGUCGGCCUCCUCGCUGCAAAUUCCACAACGUCCGCACGAUUCACAUUGACGAGCACCUUAACCUUUCAUCGAUGAGGCUGCAUUCUGCCAAUGGCUUUGACGACGACGUGCUUGAUUUGAACACUACCCCAAACUUUUUUUGUUUUGAACAAAUGAUAUUAUCUACACCAGUGAUGAUUACAACCACCGGAGUUUAUCUUUUAUUGACCCUAAAAACUAUUUGGGCCUAAACACCUUCCCAUGUGUGCCUUUUAGCCACCAACAUAAUCCAUCAGCUAGCUUGAUUUGCCCUUCAUAGUAGUUGUUUUUGUUGUUUAGUUAAGGAUUUCUAGAAAUCAGAAACUUUUGUUUUUUUUUUGUUCCCUCAUUUCUGGCUUGUUAAUACAAGCUAUCGUUGCAUAUAAAAAUAAAAUAAAAAGGACGUAGCCUUAUGCCAACCAUAUUUUUUUUUAAAUUAUUAUUAUUUGUCACAUCCCAGCCCGAGCCCUCACCACAUCUCGGGCUCGACUCCACUGUAGCACAAUAUUAUUCGUUUUGGGCCCUGAUCACACCCUCAAGGUUUUGUUUUUGGGAACUCACACGAGAACUUCCCAGUGGGUCACCCAUCAUGGGAUUCCUUUUGCGCGAACUCGCUGAACUUUGGAGUUUCGAUGAAACCCGAAGCCAGUGAGCUCCCAAAAUGCCUCGUGCUAGGUAGAGAUGAGAAUAUACAUAUAAGGCUUGCAGGAUCCAUUCCUUGGGCGAUGUGGGAUGUUACAAUCCACCCCCCUUAGUGGCCCGACAUCCUUGUCGGUACACUUCCGGCCAGGGAUUGGUUCUGAUACCAAAUUGUCACAUCCCGGCCUGGGCCCCCACCACCACAUCCCGGGCUCAACUUCACGGUAGCACGAUACUGUCCGCUUUGGGCCUCGACCACGCCCUCACGAUUUUGUUUUUGGGAACGAGAACUUCCCAGUGGGUUACCCAUCCUAGGAUUGCUCUCGCGUGAACUCGCUUAACUUCGAAGUUCCGAUAGAACCCGAAGCCAAUGAGCUCCCAAAAUGCCUCGUGUUAGGUAGAGAUGAGAAUAUACAUAUAAGGCUUAGAGGAUCCAUUCCCCUGGGCGAUGUGGGAUGUUACAUUAUUAAAUGGAUGAUUUAAAACUUUUAUAAUAACUUAGAUGAGGAGGGAUGUUUGAACUUGACACGCAAGGUAGAAAUCAACUUCCAAUCCACUAGGAUAUUGGACUACAUGCAUUAUGCCCAACCAUAUACAUAUCAAGGAUUGGUAGCCUUACUCGAUAAUUUCCUGUAAAACGGUCUUUGAAUCUCAAAAAUUGCUAAAAUUUAUUUAUUUUAAUACAUUCGAUAUUUUCUAUACUAAAGGAUCGAAGAAUGGCCAAACCUCACAGUGGCUAGUAAUAUUGCUUUUGUUUGAAUUCGCCUUUAGUCACAUGUAUAAGGAAAUUUAAAUUUUGCUCAUUCACUAAUCACCCGAGAAUCAUAUUCAUAAAGUAAUUAUCCAAAAUUUAAAACAAAACACCAAUAAAUAAUCCAAAUACAUAGAAAAAGAGUAAUGCUAGGAAGGCUAAAUUUGUAGACAAAAUUUGCAAACCAAAUUAUGUGUCACCAAUAAGGAAUGAUUACGUUCAUCCAUGUUUAAUUAAUGAUCUAAUCAACAACUUCGAUGUCAUUUAAUUCAUAAAAUUGUCUUACUCCAUAGAAAAUUGUUCAAAAACUUGAACCAAAUAUUAAGAGGGCGUUUAGCCACUAGGGGGAACUCAGACACAUGUUGGCCCUUGUUUAAAAGUUCUAAUCUUCCAUCGGUGUAGAUGACUUUUGAAAAUCAAAAAACUACACAGUGGUAUCUUCGGGAUUAUCAACUUGAACAAAGUUAGUGUGUAUGACUUUACGACGUGAAUGAUACUUAGCAACAACAUCAACAAGUGCUUGACAAAUGCAUGACCAAUAAUCCUUGGAACCACAAUGAUAACAUAUGUCUAUUUCUAUGGUGGUUGUGCCUUACCUUUAUUCUUGAAGUUGAAAGUCUUGAGAUCUAGAGAAUCGCGCUUUGAAACCACAACUGUAACACAUGUCUAUUGGACCAGAAAAGUGUGGCAAGCGUUGUUCGUUAUGGGAAGCUGAGAUAUCCACCAACACAUGAAGCCACAGGGUAUUCUCUUGUUUACAAUCAGCUCUCCCCUUUUGAAGUCCAAAAUUAUACUUCCGGAAUCAUCCACCAUGUUCGUCUCACAAGUUUGAUUUCGUUUGCUUCUUAUUUUCUUCAAAGUUUCAAUGGAGAAUUACAAAGUUGGGUUUUGCUGAAAUGACUGAACUUUUAAAUCCCCCAAACAUAAGUUGUGAUGGAAUGUGGUUCUUCUGAUAAGUUGGUGAUCUAAUUGUUGUUUCGAUGUAGGGUUGAAACUGAAUACACUGUACUUUUAUCGAUGCGGGGAUCCUUCUAUACAUGCAAUGAGUCAAAUCCACCAUUUCAGGACUAUCCCAGUUUCUGGUCCUCGGAGCUACCCUGAGAGAAUAGCGGUUAUGGGAGACCUUGGCCUUACUUACAACACAACUACCACAAUAAGUCACUUGAAAAGUAACAAUCCUGAUCUUGUUCUAUUGAUUGGUGAUGUUACUUAUGCAAACCUCUACCUCACAAAUGGAACUGGCUCUGACUGCUAUUCUUGCUCAUUUCCAAACUCUCCAAUACAUGAGACCUAUCAGCCUCGAUGGGAUUACUGGGGAUGGUUAAAACAUAAAUUGCUUUAUUUCUAUCGCAUACAAUGGCUGCUGUAAAUUAUGGCAUAGAACUUGUUUUCUUAUGUUGUCAUUGCUGGGUAAUUUGUGUAGGUAUAUGCAGAGUUUAGUGUCCAAAGUUCCAAUAAUGGUUGUUGAAGGGAACCAUGAAAUAGAAGAACAGGCUGAAAAUAAGACUUUUGAGGCUUAUAGUUCUCGUUUGAGAAAACAAAUUUAAUGUGAAAUUAAUUGGUACUUGGUUCCCUCAUUGCUAAAACACAUAAUACAAAUCUUAUUUGAAACGCUAUCAGAAACAAUGACCUUAUCUUGAAACUCGUAUCACAACAGUACCAUUUGGUUCCGAUCCCAAGCAUGUUUUUAUUAAGUUGUCCUUGGUGUCUAUGAAUGACGAACAAUUUUCCUCAUUGUAAUUAAUUAUCUUUUUGCUUUAAAGUGCACUGAAUAUUCUUCAAUUUUCUUGAAUAAAACAAUAGGUUCAUGCCUACAAGAGAUCGAAUCGAGAUUAUGAUUACAACUUAGAUUCCUGUGGUCCUGUGUAUCUCACCGUUGGUGACGGGGGUAAUCGGGAGAAGAUGGCAGUUCAACAUGCUGACGAACCUGGUCAUUGCCCAGAGCCAUCAACUACUCCUGAUCAACACCUAGGUGCUGGUGCCUUUUGUGUAGAGAAAUUUACCUCCGGCCCAGCAGCAGGUAAAUUUUGUUGGGAUCGGCAACCGAAUUACAGUGCUUUCAGAGAAAGCAGCUUUGGCCAUGGGAUCCUUGAGGUACUCCUUUUUGUGUUUUUAUGUUUGGCAUAUAUCCAGUCUGACAAUGCAUUCAAUUGUCUAUAAACGUUAUAACUUAAUAUGUACGACCCUAAACUACAUAUGAUACAACUUGAAAAUGAUUGAUGGAAAGAUGAGCAUGUGCUUGACAGUCAAUGUUAUGGAACCAGUUUAAAUCAUUUUUACCACUCCACUGCAAUGUUGAUAGAGUUUGUGAUUUUAUAUGGUUUUGUGAUUUUAUGAAGUAUCAAAGCACGAAAUAAAAAAAAUAAAAAAUCAAUGAGAUUAUGAUCUCUGCUCAGAAAGCAGGAAGGAAUGAAGGUGCGAAGAAGGUGAAGAGAUUUCUCCCUUGGAUUCUAUUAAGCUAUAACUGAAUUGAUACAUCUAGAAGCAUAGAGUGGAGGGUGAGAUAUAGCGUUUGAGGGCACACUCACUCAUCAACCUCACACACUCACGUGUAUAGCACAUGCUCACCUAUAAGUGAGUUGCUAUGCCAUGUGACACAUAUCUAGCCUAUUACCUUUGAUUGAAUUUGAGCCCUACAUUACAAACUAAGAACAAACACCUUGAAUUACAAAGGAAAAUAAGAAACUUAAAUCAGAAAGCAGCUACAAGGCUUAAACAUCAACAUUCUCCUUUAAGCUGGCAGCUGAUUUGACUCCUAACAUCUCUCUAAAAUAGUUGAACUUCUCCUUUGGUAGGGCCUUAGUCAAGAUAUCUGCCAUUUGUUCUUCAGAUUUGCAGUAAACAAGCUAAAGUUCCUUCUCUUAUAUUGCAUCCCUGAUGAAGUGAAAUUUUCUGCUGAUGUGUCUUGUUUUCUGAUGAAACACAUGAUUCUUGACAAUAGCUAUUGCUGAAGUGUUAUCACACAUUAGCAUAGUAGGUUCAACCUGUUCUUCUCCAAAAUCUUAUAGAACAAACCUCAACCACUUGGCCUGAGAUGUUGCUUCUGCAACACUUACAUAUUUAGCUUCUGCAGUGGACAAUGCCACUGUGUUUUGUUUGAUUGAUGCCCAAGAGAACACACCUGAGCCAAGAUUGAAAGCAUACCCUGAUGUGCUUCUCAUGUCAUCAACACUCCCAGCCCAGUCACUGCCACAAUAUCCAAUAAGCAAUGCUGACUUUCGUUUUACAUAUUCAAUGCCAAAGUCCAUAGUACCUUGAAUGUAUUUUAGUACUCUUUUUGCUGUUCUCAUAUGCUUCUUGGUUGGACCAUGCAUGAAUCUUGCCAAGAGACUAGCACCAAACAUUAUGUCUGGUCUAGUGGCAGUGAGGUACAAAAAGCUUCCCACCAAUUUCCUAUACUCAGACUCAUCUGCAGUUUCACUUCCAUCAUUCUUGCAUAGCCUUUCAUUUGCUACAAGUGGUGUUCCCACGAAUUUACAACCCUUUAGUCCAAAUUUCUCCAACAACUUCAUUGCAUAUUUCUUCUGAUGUAUAAAGAUGCUCUUCUUGGUUUGUACAACUCUCAUACCAAGAAAAUGGUGCAGCAAUCCCUAAUCUGUCAUCUCAUAGUGCUGCAUCAUGUCAUUUUUAAAUUUGUCCAGCAAUGUGUCACUACUACCAGUGUACACAAUAUCAUCAACAUACACAGAAACAAUGAGAAUCCCUGAGUUUUCAACCUUAGUGUAUAGAGUGGCUUCACUAGGACUUCUUUUAAAACCAGCCUUGGUGAAGUAGGAAUCAAUUUCAUCAUACCAAGCUCUUGGAACUUGAUUAAGGCCAUAUAAUGCCUUGUUUAACUUGUACACUUUAUCCUCCUUGCCUUCUAUGACAAAACCUUGAGGUUGAUCAACAUAGACUUCCUCCUUGAGUACACCAUUGAGGAAUGCAGACUUUACAUCCAACUAAAAGAGUUGCCAUUCUUUCUGAGCUGCAAGAGCUAUCAAAGUCCUUAUGGUGUCAAGCCUAGCAACUGGUGCAAAAGUCUCAUUGAAGUCAAUUAUUGACUUCUGUGAAUAACCUUUUGCAACCAAUCUAGCUUUGUUUUUCUGAAUGCUUCCAUCAAGAUUCAGUUUUGUUUUGUAUACCCACUUCACACCUAUCAUAGGUUUGCUAGAUGGUCUGUCUACCAGCAUCCAUGUACUAUUCUUUUCAAUCAUGUCUAGCUCAGCUUGCGUAGCUUUCAUCCAAGAUAAAUCUAGAGCAGCCUCUUCAUAGCUUUCAAGUUCCAUAAUGCAAACAUUACACUAUGCAAGAACUUCAUUCAAGGGUCUCCAUUUCUUUGGAGUAAAAUCAUAGCUCUGUGAUAGAUCAAUCUGUGAGCUUGAACCAUCAGCAUUGGAACUCAAACUUUCCUGUGAAAUAUCAGAAGUGAUCUCAGGGAGUAUAAUUUCAUUUGAACUUCUAAUCCUUGAGUUGGUUCAGAUUCUACUAUAUUAGUAGUAAUUGAUGUAUCAAAAUAUUUUUCAGAGCUUACAUUCCAAUCCCAUCUGGGACUCUCAUCAAAUACUACAUCUCUAGACAAUAUAAUUUUAUUAGUGAUAAGAUCAAAUACCCUGUAUCCUUCCUCACUGGUUCCAUACCCCACAAAGACAUAUUUGUGACUGUUGCAUUCAAGCUUGUGUCUAAGAUUCAUGGGAACAUGAACAUAGCACACUGAACCAAAGAUCUUCAAAUGUGCAAUUCCAGGUUUUAUUCCACUAUAGGCUUCAAAAGGAGUCAUUUUAUCCAAAGACCUUGUAGGACACCUGUUGAGGAGAUAUACUGCAAUGUGCACAGCUUCUGUCUAAAACUGGUAUGGCAUGCCUUUUUCAUGUAGCAUAGUUUUUUCCAUUUCCACCACAGUUUUAUUUUUUCUUUCAGACACACCAUUCUGCUGUGGUGUGUAUGACAUGGUUAGUUGCCUUUGAAUACCAGAGACAUUGCAAUAGUCACUGAAUUCAGAAGACAUGAACCACCUCUAUCAUUUUUUAGGUACUUGAUCUUGUGUCCACCCUGCAAUUCUGUCAUUGCAUUGAACCUUUUGAAAUACUCAAAUGGCUAGGAUUUUUAUCUCAGAAAAUAAACCCAUGUCAUUCUAGUACAAUCAUCAAUGAGCAGAAUAAAGUACUUGUUUCCAGCAUUUGAAGCAAUUUGCAUUGGACCACAGAUAUGUAUGUACCAAUUCAAGUGGGAAUUUAGCUCUCCAAGCAAAUUCUCUUGGAAAUUCAUCUCUACGUUGCUUGCCAAGCAUACAUCCUUCACAAACAUUCUUGGAAUCUUCCAAGUGAGGCAGCCCAUGAACCAUUUCUUACUCCCUAAGUUGCAGCAAACUUCUUGUGUUUAAAUGACCAAGCCUCUUGUGCCAAGUCUGAGUACAAUGAGAUACACUAGCUUUCAGUGCUAGUGGUGUAGCAGGCAUCAUGGUUAAGGGAAAACACAUGUUGCCAGUCAUUUGAACCUUAGCAACCAGUCCAUUCAAGUUCUAGCUAUCAUAAAUACAAACUACAUUACCACCAAAUAGUAGAUAGUAACCAUGUUUCAACAUUUGCCCCACACUUAGGAGAUUUUCCUCCAAGCCAGGCACCAUCAUCACUUCUUGUAUGUGUUUUCUUCCCAUCUUAGUUUCAAUGACAAGUGUACCUAUUCCUGCUACACUCACAACUUCACCAGUUCCCAUUUUUACUCUUGCAUUCAGGUUUCUACUCAUAUUCAUCAGCAAGCUUUCAUUCCCUAUCAUGUGGUUGCUGCAACCACUAUCAAUGUACCAAGUAUUAUUGACUUUCACCUGAGUCACAAAAUUGCAAGCAAAGAAUAAGGUUCCCAUAUCAUCAACCUGAUUUGCAUAGUUGGCCUUCUGCACCAUUUUGUUCCCAUUGCAGUUUCUGGUUUCAUGAUCAAAUUUAUUGCAAUUUGUGCAUUUAGGUUUUCCUUCAAACCAGCACUUUCCAUAGUGCAGUUUAUCACAAUGUUUGCAAGCUGUUUUGUUCGAAUCAUGAGAAUUAUUCUGCUUAGAGACAAGGUUGGGCUUGUUAUCCCACUUUUUCCUUUUGUUCUUCCAAUUUUUUCCUGAUUUUUGAGUACCGGAGAACCCACUGGGUUUUUGAAACUUAGACCCAACAUUUAGACUAACAAAUGCCUUUUCAUUAGAGUUUUUAGCAUGCAUAUCUAGCCUUUGUUCAUAACCCUUCAGAGAGGCAACAACUUCUUGGAUUUCAAGGGUUUCAAUAUCCUUUGAUUGUUCAAUCACAGCACAGAUAGAGUCAUAACUUCUAGGCAAGCUUAUAAGUAAUUUUUGAACAACCCUGUCCCUAGAUAGUUCUUCACCAUAACCCCUUAUUUGAUUCAUGAGGUCAAACAAUUUAGUAAGGUAUGUAGAUAAGGAUUCAUCAUCUAUCAUCCUAGUGUACUCAAAUUCUCUGCUUAAACCUUGUAAUUUCACAUUUCUAACCUGUUUGUCAUCUCUGAGUUCUUGCUGUAGAAUAUCCCAAGCUCCCUUGGAGGUUUCUUCGUUAGAGAUCCUGGGGAAAAUCUGAUCAAUGACAGCUCCUUGGAUCAACCCAAGAGCCUUAGCAUCCUUCAUUAUGAUCUCCACAACGUUUGGAGUUUCAGUAGCUGCAUCAUUCUCCUUCUUUUCAUCAGCUACCAUAACCACAAUAGAUGAUUAUGGGAUAGUAAACCCAGUCUCUACGAGCUCCCACAGUCCAUGAGACUAGAGGAUGGUUCGCAUUCUGAUAUUCUAGAAUUCAUAGUUCUCACCAUUGAAAAUGGGAGUGCGAAGCUCAGAACUCGUUGUUCUAGCCAUAUUAGACUCAGAUCUUCGAUUUUCACAGAUUUUCAAAGCGCGAUUCUUCAGCAAUGAAGCUUAGGGAAAACAAUUCAUUGAAGAACACAGAAAUCACAUAUUCAUGCCCAGAUUAAAGCGAUGAACCUGGCUCUGAGGCCAUGAUAGAGUUUGUGAUUUUAUAUGGGUUUGUGAUUUUAUGAAGUAUCAAAGCAUGAAAUCAAAAAGAAAUCAAUGAGAUUAUGAUAUCUGCUCAGAAAGCAUGAAGGAAUGAAGGUACGAAGAAGGUGAAGAGAUUUCUCCCUUGGAUUUUAUUCAGCUAUAACUGAAUUGAUACAUCUAGAAGCAUAGAGUGGAGGGUGAGAUAUAGUCGUUGAGGGCGCACUCACUCAUCCACCUCACACACUCACGUGUAUAGCACAUGCUCACCUGUAAGUGAGAUGGUAUGCCAUGUGACACACAUCUAGCCUAUUAGCUUUGAUUUAAUCUGAGCCCUACAUUACAAACUAAGAACAAACACCUUGAAUUACAAAGGAAAAUAAGAAACUUAAAUCAGAAAGUAGCUGCAAACAUCAACAAAUGUCACGAGAAAAUCACUUCGCACCAAUAUCUGUUUAUAUGGGGUGCGAAAAUCCUGUGACUAACUUGAAUACCCUUGAUCGGUUAUUGAGUAGCAAACAUAUAGAUGUAGGCUAGUAGGCUAGAAGUCUGCUGAGAAUGUAUAUACUAGAAUUAUAGCUCAGUUUCACCACCUGGAUUAUACAUUAACCGUGCAUUUUGAUGUGCAUAACUUGCAGGUGAAGAAUAAGAUUUGGGCUUUGUGGACAUGGUACCGGAACCAGGACUCCGACAAUAAAAUUAGAGAUCGAAUUUAUAUAGUGAGGCAGCCUGAUAAAUGCUGCAUCCGCCAUGCGUUCUAAAGUUGGCUUGCUGGCCUCUAAUUCUCACUGCUGCUUGCUGGGAAAAUUAUUAUUAAGAUACCAACUCAAGUGACCAUUCUUAUCUAGAUAGGAAUAGGACGGAAGGUGCAGAAAGAGUAGGAAGAUGGGGUUUCACCUAUGUAUACACACUACAUAUAUGGGGAGAGGGAGAGAGAAAGAGAGCAGAAGACGAAAAGCAACUCCGUUAUUGUGGUAUGUAGCUGAUAAAAUCUCAUUUAUACAUCUCCAUUGUAACUUGAAUAUAUACUCUCAACCAAUUUAUACAACAAAAAAUGUGUAAGAUUGGUUCCUGGAGCAAUUUCAGAUAUCGAAUUCUGAACUAUUUGCGUAUUUUGUUGAGUUACUGCAAAUUGGUUCAACUGAUGAACCAAAAAUUUCCCCUCCCCCUAUUAUGAAGCCAAAAAAUUGUUGGAAGUGACUUUUAUAUUGUCACUUAGUGUUACAAGUUCACUAAUGUUAUGGUGGCACCGCUUAUAAGGGUGGUGUUUCGACAAAACCCUUAGCUCCCGAGCUCACAAUGCACCCCGCCUAUAAGUCAUUCGGAGUUUGGAAGGAGCAAUGAGGUUUGCUAUAACCUCCGUACAAAAAACCUUCAACAACUUCCCAUACAUUGUAUUCUCCAUUAAAUUCCAGGCCAGGGGUUCCACCUCCAUCUCAUAUAAUUUCUUACCGUCUCUUGUCCAAAACAUUUGUAAUAUUGUGCCAAUUAUGUUAUAUAUUUGCAGGAUGCAUAGCAAUUUGGUGUUAGUAAAACAUUGUCUGCCGCAUAUUUGAUCAUGUUUUAACUUAGGAAUUUCAUGGUCUAGUUAAUUUUGACGAAUUUGAAAGGCUUUUAAAACAAAUUAGAAUCAAACUUUCAAAAUUACUACCCCAAACAAAUUGCACUGCAAAUUACCAUAAUCAGAAUUCAUCAGCUCAUGUACAUACUACAUAACAUUUACUUAGGAUAUGAAAUGGUGAGAUCGAUAAAUUCGAAAUCAUCAUUAUAUUGUUGUUCUUAUUACAUUAAUAUAGAUACAUGUAGCCACUAUAUAUAUACCUAUUAGAGUGAAUAACAUACCAAUGCCAUGCCCCACAAUUUGUUGUCCUGACACAAUCGACCGGAUUCGCCGCGUUGUAGUCAAAACAGAUGACGACUUCCAGCAGAUACACGAUCCCCCCGUCAUACUUGCAACGAAGAAGAGGUAUUUUGUUUUGUAUAGUCCUUUGAAUGGUUGAUUCAAGGUCGAUGUAACGAUAUUGAUAUCCUGGUACAAUCCCAGUUGUUUGAGAAAAUAGAUAUUGUGCAUUGUAGGUAAACUAUAUAAGCUUCAUGGAAGUAUUGUGUCUGGGAAAAUUUAUUGUCCGAGCACCUGCCGUGCUUGUUGUAUUGAUCCUCCCAGAAAUCCAUAUUUGUCUGUCUAAUGUUUAAGGUUGGCCAGGAAUUGGACAAAAGUAAUUGCAGAUAAUGAUCAGCAUUCAUCUGAAGCACAAAGAUGAGAAGUUACAAGCAUUUCAGAGAGCUGCAGGAGAAAAAACAAGGGAACUGAAAUGAGUGUGUGUAUAUAUAUAUAUUCGAUGUGUACCUCAUUUCUGUUGAAUACGGUACCAGCGCAGUGUAUUGUACAUCAGACUCCUGGCCCUCAAUUUGUAAAUCAGAUUAAUAGUUUCCAUGGUGAUAGAGUAUUCGGAGGAAAGUCUAAGUAGUAAAAAGAUCGCCGAGGUCUUCCGGCGGCUCGCCUCCAAGCCCAGCCUUGAUGCCAGCUCCCUCUUCUGCAAGCGCUAACUCGCCCUUGAGCGCCUCAGCAGCAUCGCCCUUUGCAUCGGUGCCACCGGCAGCCCGGACCUCGUCGUCGGCCUCCUUGCUUCCAAUUCCGCAAUGUCUGUGCCGUUCACAUUGACGAGCACCUUAACCUUUCGUCGGUGAGGCUGCAUUCUGUUUGAGAAAAUGAAUUUCAUUGAUUAAGAGAAUAAAAUUACAAUGUUGUGGUGUGUGUGUGUGUGUGUGUAUAUGUGUGUGUGUAUAUAUAUAUAUAUAUAUGUAUGGAUACCCUCUACACUCUCACAUAACUCUAACCUUCUAAACACCUAGCCACCUAUACAACAAUCUCAACUAAUCACUAGUCUAAUACAACAAACUAACUAGCUCUAAGUUUUAUCACCAAUUGAAUCUUUAACAAUAUUAUCCUUAACAUCCCCUCCUCAAACUGAACUGAGGAGUUCGAAGGGACAAUUUGGAUCUUAAGAGCUUAAACCAGUCUUUGGAAAGAGAUUUUGUGCAGAUAUAUGCAAUUAAGUUCCCCGACGCGACUUCGAAUGAUUUUGUAACUUUUUCGAUUUGGGUAAGCCUCAAAACACUCCAAAUGUUUCUCUUUUCGUCCCUAUAGUUCUUUUAUGACCACGUUGUUGUGUUUUGGACAUCAAAAUAUGAAGAAACACCUCGGAGGACUAUAUUCCAUGUUUUCUGGCGAGGUGCUGGAACUUGCAGACGUUUUCUGAUCAUAUUUCAGCCACGAGGAAGGUAUAUUUCGACUCCUUGCUUCACGGGCUUCAUUUUGGUAUUUUAGUUCACUUGUUUUGACUAAGUUUCGAGCUCCAUCAAAGCUCGGGCAUUCUCUAGCCAAUUUUUGGCCUUCUUAUUCCUUUGGUCCGAUGACCCACAACCUUAGACCCAAAACCCUUUUUACCCAGCCCAUUUGGGUAGCCCAAUCCCUUAUCCUUUAAACCAAAUGACCCAAUUAAAUAAUCGGGCUUUCAAGCCCAAAACCCUAGUCUAACUAGGCCCUUAGGCCGUGCACCUAGGCCCAGGCCCAUCGCCAAUCCAGCCCAUUAAACCCAAACCCUUGACCAUUUGAAACCAGGCUUUUGGGCCUAGGUCCCUUCAGCCUAAACCCACCAGCCCAACUCGGAUGGAAUAUUCUUUGGAAUAUUCCGUCAGAGAAUAUUCUGUCAAGGAAUAUUCUUUGGAAUAUUCUUAGUGUUGACUUUUUAUUGACUUUUUCGAAAUUUACCCGGAACCCUUUUUAGGGUAAUUCGACGUCCUGAAUCCAUUUUAGACAUCCGUUUUCCCAAAUUCAAUCAUUUGAAUAAAGUUUUAUUAAUUGGACCAUUUAUGUGCUUAUGUGCAAUUAUUUACAGCGAUUCCGUCAUUUUUAUUUCAUAUGGCUCUACAACGACGGAGUAUCUGUGAGUGGACUCCUUCUAAAAUGCAUGUUUUAAUACUAGAAAUGCAUACAUAAAAAGCCUAAUUUAAUUAUUACUUUUUAUGAAACGUUUUUAUGAGAUAUUAUGCUUACUGAGAAUAUUUUGAAUUACCAUAUUUUAUCGAACUCAUGUUCUAUGUGGUAUAGAUGAUGGAUGACUUUAUACUGCUUAUGAGCAUGCUUUUGCACACUUCUUUAUAGUAUAGGUGAUGGAUGACUUUAUACUAUGAAGAUGUUUUUAAGAUAUAUAUAUACCUAUGUUUGGAAAGUCUAUGUUCAAUGGUUUUGUGCUUAUCUAGUGGUCACUAUACCGCCACGGGCGAGGAUUAUGGUUGUUGGCUGUGGGCCGGGAGAAAUAAUCUCUGGCUUCGGGCCGAGAGACAUGGAGUUGGCAUUGGGCCAGGAGAAAUAAUCUUUGGCUACGGGCACAGAGACAUAAAAGCUGGCAUUGGGUCGGGAUAUUAUUAUUGGAUACCAUUAUGUAUCACACUAUUUACGAGAUAUGUUUUAUGAAGGUUUUAUGGCAUGCUAGGGUUUUCGGAAAACCUAUUACAUAUUAUACUAUUGAAUUUCCAUAAAACUUUGGUGGUUAGUAUGUUGAUAACUGUUUUAGUCUAUAUAUAUAUAUAUAUAUAUAUAUAUAUAUAUCAACUUGGUCCACUCAUGUUUGUUUUGCGCCCCCUCAGGACUUAGAAUUGAGGUGUACAAUCCCGACGUCAAGGCACUUCCGAUUCGGCAGCUUUGAGGCCUCUCGGUGUAGAACCCAUUCCUUUGCUCCUUCAAUGUUAUAUUUUUUCUUUAGUGUUCUAGAUUAGUUGUAUGCUCUGAACACGUUCCUCAUUUGCAUAUUAAUUAUAAUUAAAUUUAUAAGUCUUAUAUAUUUCGGGUUCUCAUGCAUUCUAAUAUGGCUUCGUCACCUUAGGGUGUUGGCCAACACGUUCCUACCCUGGUGUUCGGGGAAUAUCAGGGUUGGGCGUGUCAACAUGGAAGAUGGAAACUAAUAUCAGCAAGUAACUGACAUAUCCAUGUAAUUUCAGCUGCAGUAUUAGCUAGAGAUCGAUACUCUGCCUCUAUUGAAGAACGAGCCACUAUUGGUUACUCCUUAGCACUCCAAUUGAUGAUAGAUGAACCCAGAAAAAUACAAUAACUGCCAGUUGAUCUUCGAUCAAGUGUGCAACCUGCCUAGUCAGCAUCUAAGAAGGCUUUGAGAGAUGGAACAGAGACAGAUUAUGUAAACCAAAGACCAAUGUCAAUGGAACCCUUAAGAUAUCGAAUGAUCAUUUUGACAGCUUAAAAAUGAGACUGCCUUGGAUUGUGCAUGAAUUGACAAACAAGAUUGACUACAAAUCAUAAAUCUGACCGAGUCCAAGUAAGAUAUUGUAAUACACCAACCAAAGAUCGAUAUUCUGUAGGAUUAUCAAGCAAUGGAGAAGAAUGAUCCAACUUAGAUGUAUUGAGUGGGGUAACACAUGGUUUUGCUCUAGCCAUGUUAGUCUUCUUUAACAGAUCCAAGAUAUACUUGGUUUGUGAAAUAAAGAUGCCUUUGGAGGAUCGCUUGACUUCAAUUCCCAGAAAAUAAUGAAGUGCACCAAGGUCUUUGAUGAGAAAGAGAGAGCUAAGUUGAGAAAUUACAUGUUUCCAAGCUGCUACAGAUGGCCCUGUGACAAUAAUGUCAUCAACAUAUAUCAGAACAAAGACCAUAAGAUCCCUUUUGACAAACAAUGAAUGAUCUGAUUUAGAACUAGUGAAGCCAAGAGUAUGCAAUGCGCCAUGGAAUUUUUCAUACCAGGCUCUGGGAGCCUGUUUAAAACCAUAUAGGGAUUUAUGCAGUUGACAAACAUGAGUAUGGUGAAUAACAUCUUCAAAACCAGGCGGAUGUUGCAUAUAAACAGAUUUAGACAAUGUCCCAUGCAGAAAAGCAUUGCUUUCAUCUAGUUGACUGAGACUCCAAUCAAAUUGGGCAGCAAGAGUGAGUAUGAGUCGAAUUGUCACAGGCUUGGCUACUGGACUAAAAGUCUCAGUAUAAUUAAGUCCUUCUUGCUGAUGAAAACCUUUGGCAACUAAGAAAACUUUGUACUUAUCUAUGGUACCAUCAGGUUUUCUUUUAAUCCUGAAAACCCAUUUACAUCCUACAAUGUUUUGAUGAGCAGUUUUGGGUACUAAAGACCAAGUACCAGUUUGUUGGGAGGCAAGAAACUCAUCCUGCAUUGCCUUAACCCAAUGUGGAUAUUUAGAAGCUUGGAGAUGUGUAGUGGGGACAAAUUCAUAUGAAAAUUAAGAAAGGAGAGGAUGUUUGCUUGCAGAAAAGGCUUUUGGUUUGUAAAUACCAGAUUUGGACCUGGUUUGCAUAAGGUGAGUAUUAGUAGGAACUGAGUGAGAUGUAGGUAUAAGAGAUAUAGGUAUAGGGGCUAUUGGAGAAGAGCUACUUGGAAAUAUAUGAGAUGGAGAUGAUGGUAUAGGGGAAUGAAUAUGUGGUUGAGUGAAUGUGAGGUGAAUGGGAAUGGUAUUGAGAGGUGAAGAUGCUGCUGAGGGAAAAGAGCACUGUGAAACUGCAAUAGUGUUAAAGGGAAAACUGCCUUCAUCAAAGAUCACAUUUCUGAGAUGUAUAACUUGUUGGUAGUAAGAUCCAAACAUUUGUAACCUUUUUGGUUAAGGCUGUAAUGAAGGAAUACACAUAACUUUCUUUUGGGAUCCAAUUUAGACUCAGAGUAAGGUUGCAGCCAUGGAAAACAACUACACCCAAAAACCUUCAAGGUGGCAUAGUUAGGUGAUCUGUGGAAAAGACGUUCCCAUGAAGACAAUCUGGAUAAAGUAGGUAAUCUAUUUAUGAGAAACACAACUAUGGAAAAAACAUGAUCCCAAUAGGUGUAAGGGACCUUAGAAACUGUUAAAAAUGUUCUGGCAGUCUCAACUAUGUGUCUGUGCUUGCAAUCAGCACAACCAUUCUGUUGAGGAGUGUAUGGACAACUUAGUUGAUGACUAAUACCAUUUUCAACAAGGAAAUUAGAGAAUUGAGUGCUAAGAUAUUCCCCACCAGAUCUGAUCUGAGAGCAACAAUUUUAGUAUGCAACAAGUUCUCAACAAGACUUUUGAACUUAACAAAAGUAGGAAACACAUUAGAUUUAUAUUGCAAAGGAUAAAGCCAACAAUAUUUUGUAAAAUCAUCUACAAAGAUGACAUAGUAUCUGAAAUUGUUCACAUAAGUGACGGAUGUUGGCCCCCAAACAUCUAUGUGAAGUAGCUCCAAAGGUUUACUGGUAUGACAAGGUACAUAAGCAAAUGGCAAUCUGGAACUUUUGCUUAAGGCACAACCAUUAUAGAAAGACUUAUUAGAACCAUUAGAAAACCAAAUACAAUACUUAGUAGCCAACUUAUUGAGAAUCUUCAUCGAAGGAUGGCCAAGUCUUUGGUGCCAAAUAUUUCUAGAUGUGUUAACAGAAGCAGCAAACACAUUGUGAUUGUGGAUCACAUAACUGGAAGCCUAUAGUUGAAAUAGAUAGAAGCCAUCUCUCACAUGACCUUUAAAGAGCAUCUUUCCAGAAGAAAUAUCCUUCACAGCGAAGUGAUAAGGAUAAAGAUGCAUAGAACACCAAUUAUCAACAAGAAACUGAUUUGCAGAAAGCAUAUUUUGUUUCAAAUCAGGAACAUGCAACACAUUUCGAAGUUGAAAAUUAUGAUGAGGAGUAUGUAAUGCAGAAGAACCAGAGUAGAGAAUGGGCAAACCUUUGAAGAGUGUUGUAAGAAUUGGUCAUGUGAGUACUAGCACUGGAGUCAACAAUCCAAGUAAGUUGAGGAGAAAGUGUGCUUGCAGCCAUAGCAGAAUGAGAAGCAUUGCUGGAAUAAUGUGGAUUCAUGCGCUAGGGACACUCGAUUGCAUCAUGCUCAAACUAGCGAAAAAUUUGGCAUGGAAUCCUCAUUCCAGAGAAAUUGAAGGAUGAUCAACUACCACGGUUGUAACACUGAGAGUUGUUGCGAGAAAAAUUUAGAUGAUAGUUGUUAGAACGGAAGUUGCUUCAUCCUUGGAAGUUUCUAGGGUUGGAGAAACCACGAUCGCCACCAUGACCUUGAGAGAAAUUACGAUCACCACCACGACCUGGAAGAUUAUGUUGAGCAACAAAGGCCUGAGAAUGUGGAGUAUGAAGGAUGCCGGUGGUGGAGUUGUACGCCUGAAUUGGCACUAUCGAAGUAGUUUUCUUCCAAUUUGUUAACUGAAUCUCUAUACUAAGAAGAAGACUAUGCCGCUCAUCAAGUGUGGUGGAACCAAGCUGGAAUUGUAUCGCAUCAACAAAAGAUUCGUACUCUGAUGGUAAAUCGUGAAAUGUGAUAGAGAUUAAUUCAGAAUCCUUAACUGGAGCACCGACAUUGGCAAGAGCAUCAUCGAUCUCUUGAAUUUGUUGAAGAUAUUGAGCAGUUGUGGAAUCGCCCUUUGAAAUGCUGUGUAAACAUGAUCGGAGCUCAUGGAUGUGCCAUUGAGACGCCAUCGCAAGGCGUGACUCCAAUUUUACCCAAAGUUAUCUGGAUGUAGUAACUCUAACAAUGUAAGGAAUGAUCGAUUUAGAAAGCAUGGAAUCGAUCCAGAUGAGGAUGUUCUUAUCAUUCUCGAACCAAGAAACAUAUGCCGGAUUCAGAAUUUGAUUUCCAACAGCAUUAGAGAUGAAUUGAGCUGGAGGAGGCAUCGAUCCAUCAAGAAUUCUAGUGAGAUUAUAGCGACGGAAGAUCGAAGAAAAUAAUGCACUCCAAGUGAGAUAAUUGGUCAGAGUCAGCUUGAUCGGCACCAUGGAUUCGAUAUUCUGGAUCAUGAUUAAAGGUGUGGAGAGAGUAGAACUAGAAUUUGAGAGAAGAUCAGGAUGAAUUUGUGUUGCCGAUUUAGAAGAAGGAGAAGCUGAGGUCGCCAUGGGAGAUAGUUAGGGUUUGGCAGUGAAAGCUUAGGAAGGAAGAAAGCUUAGCGAAGAAGCUGGAGAGGGGAAAGCGUGGAUUGGAUCAAGUCGGUAGACAGAAGGCGGGUGAUACCAUGUUAGAGAAAAUGAAUUUCAUUGAUUAAGAGAAAAAAAAUUACAAUGUUGUGGUGUGUGUGUGUGUGUGUGUGUAUAUACACCCUCACAUAACUCUAACCUUCUAACCACCUUGCCACCUAUACAACAAUCUCAACUAAUUACUAGUCUAAUACAACAACCACAACAAACUAACUAGCUCUAAGUUUUAUCACCAAUUCAAUCUUUAACAAUACCAUCCUUAACACAUUAUGCCAAUGGCUCCGCCGAAAACGUGCUUGAUUUGAACAGCGUAUCAGAUGUCAGUAUGACUGCUAUCAGCAACAGAUUCCCCAAGCUCGAAAAUCUGAGCUUAAUCUGGUGCUCCAAUGCCUCUAGUAUCGGUCUAAUUUUGCUGAUAAGUGUAAACUGUUGAAAUCGUUGGAUUUGAUAGAGUUGAAUUUUAAUGCUUGAAGUCUGCAAUUCUUCGUUUGAAUACUUAACUGGACUAUCAGUGAUCCACAACUCCCUGGUUGGUAGCUACUUGGCAUCCUUCCUGGUAUAGUACCUACGAAGCCCUUUACAGAGAGGCAGAAUGUAUGAGGUAGCAAACAUAUAGAUGUAGGCUAGUAGGCUAGAAGUCUGCUGAGAAUGUAUAUACUUGAAUUACAGCUCAGUUUCACCACCUGGAUUAUACACUAAGCGUGCAUUUUGAUGUGCAUAACUUGCAGGUGAAGAAUGAGACUUGGGCUUUGUAGACAUGGUACCGGAACCAGGACUCCGACAAUAAAAUUGGAGAUCAAAUUUAUAUAGUGAGGCAACCUGAUAAAUGCCGCAUCCGCCAUUUGUUCGAAAGUUGGCUUGCUGACCUCUAAUUCUCACUGCUGCUUGCUGGGAAAAAUUUAUUAUUAAGAUCCCAAAUCAAUUGACCAUUCUUAUCUAGAUAGGAAUAGGAUGGAAGGUUGCAGAAAGAGUAGGAAGAUGGGGUUUCACCUAUGUAUACACACUAUAUAUAUAAGAGGAGGGGGGUUGGGGGGGUGGGGGGUGGGGGAGGGGGCGGGGAGAGAGAGAGAGAGAGCAGAAGAAGAGCAACUCCGCUGUUGUUGUAUGUAAAUGAUAAAAUCUCAUUUAUACGUCUCCUUUGUAACUUGAAUAUAUACUCUCUCAACCAAUUUAUACAACAACAAACGUGUAAGAUUGGUUCCUGGAGCAAUUUCGGAUAUCGAAUUCUAUUAUAUAUUUGCAGGGGUUCCACCUCCAUCUCAUAGAGAUUAUCAUCACCUGUUGUUUCUGUGAAUAAUGUAAUUUCUUACCGUCCCUUGUCCAAAACAUUUGUAAUAUUGUGCCAAUUAUAUUAUAUAUUUGCAGGAUGCAUAGCAAUUUGGUGUCAGUAAAACUUUGUCUGCCGCAUAUUUGAUCAUGUUUUAACUUCGGAAUUUCAUGGUCUAGUUAAUUUUGACGGAUUUUGAAAGGCUUUUAAAACAAAUUAGAAUCAAACUUUCGAAUUUACUACCCCAAACAAAUUGCACUGCAAAUUACCAUAAUCAGAAUUCAUCAGGUCAUGUACGUACUACAUAACAUUUACUUAGGAUAUGAAAUGGUGAGAUCGAUAAAUUCGAAAUCAUCAUUAUAUUGUUGUUCUUAUUACAUUAAUAUAUAUAUAUAUGUAGCCACUAUAUAUACCUAUUAGAGUGAAUACGAUACCAAUGCCCCACAAUUUGUUGUCCUGACACAAUCGACCGGAUUCGCUGCGUUGUAGUCAAAACAGAUGACGACUUCCAGCAGAUACGCGAUCCGCCGGUCAUACUUGCACAUAAGAAGAGGUGUUUUCCCUCCUAUAGUCCGUUGAACGGCCGAUUCAAGGUCGAUGUAAUGAUAUUGAUAUCCUGGUACAAUCCCAGUUGUUUGAGAAAAUAGAUAUUGUGCAUUGUAGGUCAACCAUAAUCUAUAAGCUUCGUGGAAGUAUUGUGUCUGGGAAAAUUUAUUGUCCGAGCACCUGCCGUGCUUGUUGUACUCAUGCGCCCAGAAAUCCAUAUUUGUCCGUCUAAU
RNAcentral lists this long non-coding RNA (24955 nucleotides) under Malus domestica (apple). RNAcentral's name for it is "long non-coding RNA (MDOM_LNC009456)". The record is from RNAcentral. Lineage: Eukaryota; Viridiplantae; Streptophyta; Magnoliopsida; Rosales; Rosaceae.